Molecule: ribosomal RNA, 433 nt
Filed under: uncultured bacterium
Lineage: Bacteria
Description: partial 16S ribosomal RNA
Rfam family: Bacterial small subunit ribosomal RNA
Source: RNAcentral
AACGAACGCUGGCGGCAUGCCUAACACAUGCAAGUCGAACGAGACCUUCGGGUCUAGUGGCGCACGGGUGCGUAACGCGUGGGAACCUGCCCUUAGGUUCGGAAUCCCUCCCGGAAGGGGGUCUUAAUCCGGGUGAGGUUCUUCGCCCAAAGGAUUUCCCGCUUUGGGAUGGGCCCGCGUUGGAUUCGUCAGUUGGUAGGGUAAAAGCCUACCAAGGCGACGUUCCAUAGCUGGUCUGAGAGGAUGACCAGCACCACUGGGACUGAGACACGGCCCAGACUCCGACGGGAGGCAGCAGUGGGGAAUAUUGGAGAAGGGGCGAAAGCCUGAUCCAGCAAUGCCGCGUGAGUGAUGAAGGCCGUAGGGUUGUAAAGCUCUUUUACCCGGGAUGAUAAUGACAGUACCGGGAGAAUAAGCUCCGGCUAACUCCGUG